GAUGAACGCUAGCGAUAGGCUUAACACAUGCAAGUCGAGGGGCAGCAUAAAUAGUAGCUUGCUAUUAUUGGUGGCGACCGGCGCACGGGUGAGUAACGCGUAUCCAAUCUACCCGUAACACAGGGAUAGCCCGUCGAAAGGCGGAUUAAUACCUGAUAAUACAGGGGCACCGCAUGGUGAUAUUUGUUAAAGAAUUUCGGUUACGGAUGAGGAUGCGUUCCAUUAGGUAGUUGGUAGGGUAACGGCCUACCAAGCCAACGAUGGAUAGGGGAACGGAGAGGUUUAUCCCCCACACUGGUACUGAGACACGGACCAGACUCCUACGGGAGGCAGCAGUGAGGAAUAUUGGUCAAUGGGCGAUAGCCUGAACCAGCCAAAUCGCGUGAAGGAAGACGGUAUUAUGUAUUGUAAACUUCUUUUGUAUGGGAAUAACAGUAGGGACGUGUCCUUAUUUGCAUGUACCAUAGGAAUAAGCAUCGGCUAACUCCGUGCCAGCCGCCGCGGUAAAAC
RNAcentral lists this ribosomal RNA (510 nucleotides) under uncultured bacterium. Its description in RNAcentral is "bacterial SSU rRNA". It matches the Rfam family "Bacterial small subunit ribosomal RNA", at positions 28 to 526 of the family's 1533-position model. The record is from RNAcentral.